Molecule: ribosomal RNA, 216 nt
Filed under: Cichlidae sp.
Lineage: Eukaryota; Metazoa; Chordata; Actinopteri; Cichliformes; Cichlidae
Description: partial small subunit ribosomal RNA
Rfam family: Bacterial small subunit ribosomal RNA
Source: RNAcentral
GUCGGUAAAACUCGUGCCAGCCACCGCGGUUAUACGAGAGGCUCAAGUUGACAGACAUCGGCGUAAAGAGUGGUUAGGAAGUUUUUGAAACUAAAGCCGAACGCCCUCAGAACUGUUAUACGUACCCGAGGGUAAGAAGCCCCACUACGAAAGUGGCUUUAUAUCUCCGACCCCACGAAAGCUGCGAAACAAACUGGGAUUAGAUACCCCACUAUG